RNAcentral lists this transfer RNA (72 nucleotides) under uncultured bacterium. RNAcentral's name for it is "tRNA-Trp". It matches the Rfam family "tRNA". Rfam says of the family: Transfer RNA (tRNA) molecules are approximately 80 nucleotides in length. Their secondary structure includes four short double-helical elements and three loops (D, anti-codon, and T loops). Further hydrogen bonds mediate the characteristic L-shaped molecular structure. tRNAs have two regions of fundamental functional importance: the anti-codon, which is responsible for specific mRNA codon recognition, and the 3' end, to which the tRNAs corresponding amino acid is attached (by aminoacyl-tRNA synthetases). tRNAs cope with the degeneracy of the genetic code in two manners: having more than one tRNA (with a specific anti-codon) for a particular amino acid; and 'wobble' base-pairing, i.e. permitting non-standard base-pairing at the 3rd anti-codon position. The record is from RNAcentral.
AGGGUUAUAGUAUAAUUGGUAAUACUCUAGUCUCCAAAACUAGCAUUAUGGGUUCAAAUCCUAUUAAUCCUG